UGAAUUUGCCCAAUUUCAAGAUGUGUAC
This 28-nucleotide small RNA is filed under the name Bombyx mori (domestic silkworm). RNAcentral's name for it is "piRNA piR-bmo-2091514". Lineage: Eukaryota; Metazoa; Arthropoda; Insecta; Lepidoptera; Bombycidae. The record is from RNAcentral.